This 748-nucleotide ribosomal RNA is filed under the name Pseudomonas fulva. Its description in RNAcentral is "bacterial SSU rRNA". It matches the Rfam family "Bacterial small subunit ribosomal RNA", at positions 36 to 782 of the family's 1533-position model. Lineage: Bacteria; Pseudomonadati; Pseudomonadota; Gammaproteobacteria; Pseudomonadales; Pseudomonadaceae. The record is from RNAcentral.
CCAGCGUCAGGUACCUGAUAAAGUCGAGCGGAUGACGGGAGCUUGCUCCUUGAUUCAGCGGCGGACGGGUGAGUAAUGCCUAGGAAUCUGCCUGGUAGUGGGGGACAACGUUUCGAAAGGAACGCUAAUACCGCAUACGUCCUACGGGAGAAAGCAGGGGACCUUCGGGCCUUGCGCUAUCAGAUGAGCCUAGGUCGGAUUAGCUAGUUGGUGAGGUAAUGGCUCACCAAGGCGACGAUCCGUAACUGGUCUGAGAGGAUGAUCAGUCACACUGGAACUGAGACACGGUCCAGACUCCUACGGGAGGCAGCAGUGGGGAAUAUUGGACAAUGGGCGAAAGCCUGAUCCAGCCAUGCCGCGUGUGUGAAGAAGGUCUUCGGAUUGUAAAGCACUUUAAGUUGGGAGGAAGGGCAGUAAGCUAAUACCUUGCUGUUUUGACGUUACCGACAGAAUAAGCACCGGCUAACUCUGUGCCAGCAGCCGCGGUAAUACAGAGGGUGCAAGCGUUAAUCGGAAUUACUGGGCGUAAAGCGCGCGUAGGUGGUUCGUUAAGUUGGAUGUGAAAGCCCCGGGCUCAACCUGGGAACUGCAUCCAAAACUGGCGAGCUAGAGUAUGGUAGAGGGUGGUGGAAUUUCCUGUGUAGCGGUGAAAUGCGUAGAUAUAGGAAGGAACACCAGUGGCGAAGGCGACCACCUGGACUGAUACUGACACUGAGGUGCGAAAGCGUGGGGAGCAAACAGGAUUAGA